AACGAACGCUGGCGGCAGGCCUAACACAUGCAAGUCGAGCGAGGACUUCGGUUCUAGCGGCGGACGGGUGAGUAACGCGUGGGAAUGUGCCCUUCUCUACGGAAUAGCCCUGGGAAACUGGGAGUAAUACCGUAUACGCCCUUUUGGGGAAAGAUUUAUCGGAGAAGGAUCAGCCCGCGUUGGAUUAGGUAGUUGGUGGGGUAAUGGCCUACCAAGCCGACGAUCCAUAGCUGGUUUGAGAGGAUGAUCAGCCACACUGGGACUGAGACACGGCCCAGACUCCUACGGGAGGCAGCAGUGGUGAAUCUUAGACAAUGGGGGCAACCCUGAUCUAGCCAUGCCGCGUGAGUGAUGAAGGCCUUAGGGUUGUAAAGCUCUUUCAGCUGGGAAGAUAAUGACGGUACCAGCAGAAGUAGCCCCGGCUAACUCCGUG
This 433-nucleotide ribosomal RNA is filed under the name uncultured bacterium. RNAcentral's name for it is "partial 16S ribosomal RNA". It matches the Rfam family "Bacterial small subunit ribosomal RNA", at positions 29 to 507 of the family's 1533-position model. The record is from RNAcentral.